Molecule: long non-coding RNA, 240 nt
Filed under: Medicago truncatula (barrel medic)
Lineage: Eukaryota; Viridiplantae; Streptophyta; Magnoliopsida; Fabales; Fabaceae
Description: long non-coding RNA (MTRU_LNC007095)
Source: RNAcentral
ACUUGUGGAACUACCUAAAAUUCUCAAUACAAGAAUUAAUUUGAGAUUGAUGAUGCUAGAAGUACAAGAAAACUCACAAACCACUUACUAGUUUGAAAACCAGUUUCCACUGAGUUAAAAAGUUAAAAAAAAUUCAUUCAUUCCACUUUUUUUUUCUCACCUCUUCAGCUGUUGCUUUUUUCUUCUCUUAAACAAAACAAAGUGAUCAUGUGCUCUCCACCAAAUCCAAUAUGCAUGAGU